AGCUCUAAUAGCGUAUAUUAAAGUUGUUGUGGUUAAAACGCCCGUAGUUGGUUUUUCGAUAUUGGAGGAUAGUGGCUUGAAAGAGUUGACUGUCUUUUUCAAGUCUUUUUGGUUGUUUGCUAGUGGUGCUCUUUGUUGAGUGUUAGUGGAGGCACUGAUGUUUACUUUGAAAAAAUUAGAGUGUUUAAAGGAUGUUAUAUGCUUGUAUAAGGUGCAUGGGAUAAUGGAAUAUGACUUUGGCUUUGUUAUUUUGUUGGUUUUGAUGGCCGAAGUAAUGAUUAAAAGGAACAGACGGGGGCAUUCGUAUUGUUACGUUAGAGGUGAAAUUCUUGGAUCGUAGCAAGACGGACAACAGCGAAAGCAUUUGCCAAGAAUGUUUUCA
This 382-nucleotide ribosomal RNA is filed under the name uncultured eukaryote. RNAcentral's name for it is "SSU rRNA". It matches the Rfam family "Eukaryotic small subunit ribosomal RNA", at positions 587 to 972 of the family's 1831-position model. The record is from RNAcentral.